RNAcentral lists this ribosomal RNA (297 nucleotides) under uncultured Alphaproteobacteria bacterium. Its description in RNAcentral is "partial 16S ribosomal RNA". It matches the Rfam family "Bacterial small subunit ribosomal RNA", at positions 20 to 349 of the family's 1533-position model. Lineage: Bacteria; Pseudomonadati; Pseudomonadota; Alphaproteobacteria. The record is from RNAcentral.
UGGCUCAGAACGAACGCUGGCGGCAGGCCUAACACAUGCAAGUCGAGCGCCCCGCAAGGGGAGCGGCAGACGGGAGAGUAACACGUGGGAACGUACCCUUCCGUUCGGAACAACCCAGGGAAACUUGGGCUAAUACCGGAUACGUCCGAAAGGAGAAAGAUUUAUCGCCGAGGGGUCGGCCCGCGUCUGAUUAGCUAGUUGGUGGGGUAUCUCCCCACCAAGGCGGCGAACAGUAGCUGGUCUGAGAGGAUGAUCAGCCUCACUGNUUCGAUCCACGGCCCAUGACUUACGGGAGGC